This 274-nucleotide ribosomal RNA is filed under the name uncultured bacterium. Its description in RNAcentral is "partial 16S ribosomal RNA". It matches the Rfam family "Bacterial small subunit ribosomal RNA", at positions 523 to 796 of the family's 1533-position model. The record is from RNAcentral.
AUACGGAGGGUGCAAGCGUUAUUCGGAAUCACUGGGCGUAAAGGACGCGGAGGCGGGUUGGCAAGUCAGAUGUGAAAUCCUACAGCUUAACUGUAGAACUGCAUUUGAAACUGCUAACCUAGAGUAUGGGAGGGGGAGAUGGAAUUAGUGGUGUAGGGGUAAAAUCCGUAGAUAUCACUAGGAAUACCGAAAGCGAAGGCGAUCUCCUGGAACAUAACUGACGCUAAGGCGUGAAAGCGUGGGGAGCAAACAGGAUUAGAAACCCUAGUAGUCC